This is a non-coding RNA of Suncus etruscus (white-toothed pygmy shrew), 438 nucleotides long. The record is from the annotation of a RefSeq genome assembly. NCBI's taxonomy places the organism in Eukaryota, Metazoa, Chordata, Mammalia, Eulipotyphla, Soricidae.
AUGGGCUCUAGGCUCCUCUGCUGUGUGGCCCUUUGUCUUCUGAGAGCAGGCCCUGUGGAACUUGGGGUGACUCAGACCCCAAAAUUCCUGAUCAAAGCUAGAAGUCAGACAGUGACCCUGAGUUGCUUCUAUGAAUCCGGGCAUGAUAACGUGAACUGGUACCAAUGGGCCAUAGGCCAGGGCCCUGAAUUUCUGGUUCAGUAUUAUGAUGGGAGAGAGUAUCAGAAAGGCAGCAUCCCUGAUCACUUCUCAGUUCAGCAGUUCAGUUCAGUCUUUCGCUCUGAGCUGAAUAUGAAAUCCAUAGAAGUGAAAGACUCUGCCCUGUACCUCUGUGCCAGCAGCCUCACAGCCCUGCUGGCUCAGCAGCCUCCUGCACAAAAACUCUCCUGCCCAGCCCAAGUGACAGUGGCAGGGAAGCUGCCAGCCAGUCAUGCUUAG